Molecule: ribosomal RNA, 497 nt
Filed under: uncultured bacterium
Lineage: Bacteria
Description: partial 16S ribosomal RNA
Rfam family: Bacterial small subunit ribosomal RNA
Source: RNAcentral
GAUGAACGCUGGCGGCGUGCCUAAUACAUGCAAGUCGAGCGAACGGACGAGAAGCUUGCGUCUCUGAUGUUAGCGGCGGACGGGUGAGUAACACGUGGAUAACCUACCUAUAAGACUGGGAUAACUUCGGGAAACCGGAGCUAAUACCGGAGAAUAUUUUGAACCGCAUGGUUCAAAAGUAAAAGACGGUCUUGCGGGCACGUAUAGAUGGAUCCGCGCUGCAUUAGCUAGUUGGUAAGGUAACGGCUUACCAAGGCAACGAUGCAUAGCCGACCGGAGAGGGUGGUCGGCCCCCCUGGAACUUGGCCCCCGUCCCGGCUCCUACGGGAGGGCGCCGGUGGGAAUUCUUCGGCAUGGGCGGAAAUCUUGCGGAAGCACCGCGCGUGGGUUGAUGAAGUCCUUCGGUCGUUAAAACGUUUUUCUUGGGGAAAACCUCUUUCGUAUGUAACGUGGCCCGUUUGGCGGUACCUAAUCAAGAAGCCCCGGCUAACUACGUG